GCAAUCAGACGCGAGUUGAUGGUGUGCGUACACCGCCACUGCACACAUAAAGUUUGAUGCGCAGGCGCGGGAAUUCAAACAGCAAGGGUACGGUAGGCAUCGCUUCCAAACGAGAAAACGUUGUGAAUUAACUUCAAAAUAUAAGUUUUUAGUAGGGAAACAGACAGAAAACAAAUCGUAUAUGAAUUGAGAUAUUAAAAAACCAAUUUUAAUGCAAAUCAGAAAAAAAAACACUCAAGAAGAUUAUCCGGCAAUGAAAAAUGGACGGAAAAGCAGGUUUUCCU
Caenorhabditis elegans is the source of this 284-nucleotide non-coding RNA. The record is from Ensembl. Lineage: Eukaryota; Metazoa; Nematoda; Chromadorea; Rhabditida; Rhabditidae.